AUUGAACGCUGGCGGCAGGCCUAACACAUGCAAGUCGAACGAGUGGCGGACUGGUGAGUAAUGUCUGGGAAACUGCCUGAUGGAGGGGGAUAAAUACUGUAAACGGUAGCUAAUACCGCAUACCAUCGGAUGUGCCCAGAUUGGAUUAGCUAGUUGGUGGGGUAACGGCUCACAUAGGCGACGAUCCCUAGCUGGUCUGAGAGGAUGACCAGCAACACGGGAACGGAGACACGGUCCAGACUCCUACGGGAGGCAGAAGUGGGGAAUAGUGCACAAGGGACGAAAGCCUGAGGCAGCCAUGCCGCGUGUAUGAAGAAGGCCUUCGGGUUGUAAAGUACUUUCAGCGGGGAGGCGUGACUCGAAGAAGAAGCACCGGCUAACUCCGUGCCAGCAGCCGCGGUAAUUC
Molecule: ribosomal RNA, 406 nt
Filed under: uncultured bacterium
Lineage: Bacteria
Description: partial 16S ribosomal RNA
Rfam family: Bacterial small subunit ribosomal RNA
Source: RNAcentral